GUAUGCUGUUGCCAGAAGAGGUUGUCUGUGAUGCUAUCUACUGAGAUUAAAGACUUUUUGAAGUAAAGAGGAGCAUCUCAUCUGAAACUGAUGUCUAUCAUGGAUAUUUAACUGAAGUUCUGUGAGUAUCCCAACUUAACCAUGAAGAUGAACUGCAAACUGUAAGUCAUUAAUUUCUCAUUACUCUUGGGCACAUUGAUGUAUUUUUGCUUCUUGGUGAGUUAACCCGUUGGCUAAAGGUUGAUCUGAGCAGUAAGGAUGUUUUAUUGGUUCAUUGGUUUCUUAGGUGUUUGGUUUAUGUUGGUUUUAAUGAUUUGUUAAAAUGGUUACGAGAUCCAAGUUAUUGUUGUAAGCUGGAGUAAUUGGUUGGGUUCUGAUGUCUUAAGUCUUCUUUCCAGCUACUUUCCUGAGCUCUGCAUCUUCAACACACGAGUGUUGCUUUACUGAUGAGGGUGUGGUCUGAGUGAGCGGAGGUGCAUACUGGGAUACAGAGCUGUCUGAAGUCUACAGGUCUGUAGGCACGCCCCCUCAGGGGAAACCAAGUGUUUCAGAAACCGUCGUGACGUCAGUUACAUGGACUAGAAUGUUCUUUAAGAUGGAGACGGGAUUCAGAAGGAGAAACGCCAGGGGGAGAUGAGGGGGCUCCUCAUCUCAACAGCUGAAACACAACUGCAGUCUGACACAGAGAACCAUGGAACACAUUCAACAGUCCCCUCCAUGCAUCGUGACUCCUCAUGAAAAGUUUCAUUUCCAAGAAGGUCUUAUUUGGGGCCAUCCCCAUAUGGAUCCUGCUCCUCAAGAGCCAACCCCCCUCCACUGAGUGGUCUUCUGAAGAGAUGACUUCCUUCCUGUCCUCAGGUUGAUUAAAGCUGCACCGUUUGCAUCUGUGAAGGCCCCUCAUUCAGGAAACCACUGGACUACAAAGAAAUGACUUCAGAAACGUUGAAUCAACCUGGGACACAUUUGGAGACGCCAAGCAUAAUCCAUCACCAAUGUGGGACGCCACUGAAAAAUGUUGCACACAAUUAACUUCUCUGGAGACAUUGGUUGUUCUGUUCUGGGUGCCCUGGCAGGAGAGCUGGGGUUGGAUGAUGGAACGUUAUUUGGCAUGAGGUUUUUACCCCUGCAUGAUUGUUUGGCCUUUUAUGGAUCAGUGGUGUGUGUGUUUGGGUUUGACAUGAGAUGGAUUUUUUCAUCGCUAGGGUUCAACUGUGUGUGUGGGUGUGUGUGUCUCCCACUCACACGUAGAACCCCAUACCAGGUGUGUGUGUGUGUGUGUGUGUCCGGCUUGCUUUGAUCGUGAUAAUGUUCAUACGGGGGUCUGUGUGAUUGGCUUGGGAUAUUGGACUGGUCAACUAAAUCAUACCUGAUGGACGGCCACACGUUUACUUAAGAGCCUCCAGUAGACAUGAAGAGCCCUGAGUGACGCUCCGUAGCGAUAUCCAACACACUGGGCAGGAAGGAGAGUAUCCAACAAGCGGCGUGUUCAGAUCAGUGACUUCAAACUAGGACCAAUCAGGAUCAAUGGAGGAUGGACACCAAAAGGAAUUCCACAAGGAGAGUCUGACGUUGGAAAGGGACCUAAUUGGAUAUUCAAGAUGACCUUCAGACCUGUAAUGAGACGGCUCUUCCUACCUGGCUGGAUUGAUGGAGAGCCCUGUGGAUCUUGUCUUGCUCUCAGUUGCACGUCUUCUCAGGCUGAACUCUAAUUGUCUCGGACAGGAAUAGCUGAACAAUUGGUUCCCUUAAAUCAGAACCAAUCCGGGAACUCCAUCUAGUGCGCCCUUCGAGCUGAAGUUGUGCUCUUCAGCUGAGGAGGUAAGGAAACCUUCACUGGGGCUUCAAGAUGUAAAGAGGACAAUGUUUCAAAGUGUUCCAUGGUACUCUGAUGAAGACCGUUGGUGUGUUCCACUGGCUGAGAGGAAGAACCCACACAUCUUCCUCUUGGCCUUUCUCCUCUCAGAAUCCUGGCGCCAUCUUGAAGGAUAUUCCAGCUCAUGUAACUGAUGUCACGACAGAUUCACAAACACUUGGUUUCUCCUGAGGGGCGUUUCUAUAGAACUGAAGACUUCAGACGGCACUGUAUCCCAGCAUGCAUCUCUGCUCACUCAGACCACACCCCCAUGAGUAGGAUGCUACACUCUUGGGAUGGAGAUGUAGUGUUUUAUAAGUAACAAGGGAGCAGACUAAGGGGAUUAGAACGUAAUAGAAUGUCAAGUCUAAAUCUUUAAACCAUGAAGAUGGUUGGAAAAGUCAGGAAUUUGGCUUAUUUUUAAUAUGGGCAGUCCUUUCACUCGGAUGCUCACUUGAAAUGUACAUGCGUUGGCUGGCUGGCAUGAUUUGCUGUUGGUGAUGAGGCGGUCAGGGUGACGUUGCAGGGCUAUGGUCGGCUCUCUGUGAGCUCAACGUUUAGAUUUUCUCUGGUUUGUACCCUGAAUAAUCUAGAUAAUUGUAAAAUGUAGACACGGUUUUGCAUUGAAUGAUUCCAGGAUUUUAGGUUUAAAGUUGUUGUACAUGGUAGUUUGGUUCUUCGUCUGGUUUUGAGUGAUUAUAACUUGUACACACUGGGUGCAUAAUAAUUUAAUGUUACACUGAAUAGUAUUAAUGACCAACAGCAACAAACAGAUCUCCUCAAGGUAAGUCUGUUGGCUGUAUUUUAAUGAAGACCAUCGCUGGACUUCAGGAUCUUCCACCGUUCAGCUCAAGGUGAGGCGCUGGUUACGUUUUUUCUUUGGUUGGUUCCGGCUGGAAUGUUCGGAUUCCAGUCGGACGGUUUGUGCUUCCCGCCGUGGAAGGUUCUGAGUGCGGUCACUUGAUUUAGUCCCAAUGGUUAGCAUAGAAAGUUGUAGUCUUGACAACCAUAAGAACACUAACACGAAUUUCGUACAAUAUGUUAAUUUUCGAUGGUUGCGCCGUACUUUUAACCACGUUGACGGGACUCUCGCUGCGUACAAAACGGCGUUCUACUGGCGGCCCAAUUUUUGGUGAAGGCUGAAAAUCAUUUCAAGGUGGAAGACAAUUUGACAUUUCUUCAAAGGAACCCAGCACCUGAAUAUGAGUUGAGUAAAUUUGAUUUAAUAUUGAUACUGCUUAGUGUUCAUUGUUACUUCACUGUUACUUGCUGAUAUAAACCUCCUGCUGUAGCUCAAAGGCGAGUCUGAGAGGCUGUGGACCGGAGGCUUGUGGUGCCAGGAUGGACCGGAGACUGAGGCUGGAGACCAGGGGCCUGCAGCACCGGACCAGAGGACCAGGAAUCCAUGGCUGAAGGAGCGGAUGGAGGCCCUGCCUGGUGGAGGAGCCAUGCUGAAAGCCCUGCCUGGUGGAGGAGCUGACGGAGGCCCUGCCUGGUGGAGGAUGUCUGUCGUGGGGACUCUGGUUUGGAGGAGAGCUGAUGGAGGAGCUGAUGGAGGAGCUGAGUCGCUGGAGGACGACUAGGAAUCGACCAACAAGGAUUCCUCAACGUGUUUCUGGAGCGGAGGCGAGCUGAUAGGGGAGCCGUGAAUCUGGAGGAUGACGUCACUCUACCAACAAGGAUUACCAGGACUCUGGCUGAGGAGAGCGGAUGGAGGAGCCAUAAAACCAGGAAUCUGGAGGACUGACGGAGAAGCCGUACAUCUGGAAGGCAAAUCCUGAGGACGAUCAGGACUCUACCAUCAAGGAUUCCUCACACACCUGAGCUGAACCCCACCUGAUCCGGACAUCCUGCUGGUCCCGUCUCCUCAGUUCAUCUGAGCCUCUUCCUCCAGAAGACAUGCUGAGCUCAGCGGUCUGAGGCUGAUGUAUCAAUGACCUCAAGUGGGAGUAAUCUUCUUGACCCCACAUGUAGCCGUGUGCUUCCACACGCCUUUCCCUCACGUCUGUCACUAACCUAAUUACUUCACUACUCUCUGCUCCUUCUCCUUCUUCUUCCUUCUCCGUGGUUCGAACCUUUACUCUGAAGGAGUGUCUCCUUGAACCUUUACACUGAAGGAGCGUCUUCCUGUCCUCAGAGGGUUCAGCGUUAGGGUUGAGAGUCAGGGUUUAGAGUCAGGGACAGAGCUGGUCAGGGAGGGCUGGUUUUACAUAAACCUUUUCACUUGCUUUCUGAAUGGUGGUGACAUUUUGAAAAGAUUAAUUUGGGAAAAUGUUUUCCUCUUUUUUUGCUUUACAAAAAUAUGUAUUAAACUUCUGUGUUUGUAACCAGACCAGGUAUCCAUGGCUGAAGGAGCUGAUGGUGGAGCCGUGCUGAAAGAGCGGAUGGAGGAGCCGUGCUGACGGCCCUGCCUGGUGGAGGAGCCGUGCUGACGGCCCUGCCUGGUGGAGGAUGUCUGUCGUGGGACCAGGACUCUGUCUGAGGAGAGCAGAUGGAGGAGCUGAGAUGCUGGAGGACAACUAGGAAUCGACCAACAAGGAUUCUUCAACGUGUUUGUGGAGCGGAGGCCAGCUGGUAGGGGAGCCGUGAAUCUGGAGGAUGACCAUCACUCUACCAACAAGGAUUACUUUAGGGCCAGACUCGCGCUGUUUGUUCCAGACCAGGACUCUGGCUGAGGAGAGCUGAUGGAGGAGCCAAGACUCUGUAGGACAACAUCACUCCACCAACCAGGAUCCUCAGACGAAUUACGUUUGUAACCAGACCAGGAAUCUGGAGGACUGAUGGAGAAGCCGUACAUCUGGAAGGCAAAUCCUGAGGACCAGCAGGACUCUACCAUCAAGGAUUCCUCAUAAGUUUGCAUUAUCUGGACAAAGUGGCCUAGACACACCUGAGCUGAACCUCACCUGAUCCUGUUUGGUCGGGGGUUGACACACCUGAGCUAAACCCACCCUGAUCCUGACAUCCUGCUGGUCCAGUCUCCUCAGUUCUCCUGAGCCUCGUCCUCCAGAAGACCUGCGUAGCUCAGCAGUCUGAGGCUGAUGGAUCAAUGACCUCCAGUGGGAGGGAUCUUCUUGACCCCACUUGUAACCGUGUGCUUCCACACGCCUUUCCCUCACAUCUGUCACUAACCUCACUACUUCACUACUCUCUACUGCUUCCUCUUUUCUUCCUUCUCUGUGGUUUAAACCUUUUAUACUGAAGGCGCGUCUUCCUGCCCUCAGAGGGUUCAGCGUUAGGGUUGAGAGUCAGGGUUUAGAGUCAGGGACAGAGCUGGUCAGGGAGGACUGCUUUUACACAAACCUCUUGACUUGCUUUCGGAAUGGUGGUGACAUUUUGAAAAGAUUCAUUUGGUAAAAUCUUUUCCUCUGCUUCCCUUUACAAAAUUGUAUCAAACUUCUGUCAAGUGUUUUUGUUUAAAUAUUAAAAUCCCACAUUGACUUCUACAUGUUUGGUGCG
This is a long non-coding RNA of Gadus chalcogrammus (walleye pollock), 5308 nucleotides long. RefSeq lists it as uncharacterized. The record is from RefSeq and is a predicted model, not a curated record. The transcript is spliced from 14 exons. NCBI's taxonomy places the organism in Eukaryota, Metazoa, Chordata, Actinopteri, Gadiformes, Gadidae.